This is a long non-coding RNA of Triticum dicoccoides, 515 nucleotides long. RefSeq lists it as uncharacterized. The record is from RefSeq and is a predicted model, not a curated record. The transcript has 3 exons. Lineage: Eukaryota; Viridiplantae; Streptophyta; Magnoliopsida; Poales; Poaceae.
ACCGUCGCCCCGCCACCCUCGACGCCACCGUCGCCCCGCCGCCCCAGCGCCGCCCCGACACCACCGUCGCCCCGCUGCCCUCGACGCCGCCCCGACACCACCGUCACCCCGCCGCCCUCGAUAGCCAGUUUGUUCCCGUGUGUCGCUCCUGUGCUCUCGCACACACAAGCCCGCAAGGUCGCCAGCCACCUCAAAUUUCCCCCCUUGGGCCGGUUCUCCUCCACACGCCCGUAGCGGCGUAGCCUCGACGGUGGUCGGCGACUGGAGUAGUGGCGGGACAGGCGGCGAUGUCCAGUGUCGUGAAGGGAGGCGUUUGCCUCCAGCAGCUCCGCCCCUAUCCUCCUAUACAGCCCUACCGCUACGGAUUCAAAAUGGAUUCGCCACUUCCACCACAGAUCUGGCUUGUGGUUGACUGCACCGACCGUCGCCGCCUUCGUUUCUAGCUGCCGGAGGGUACACCACUAGGGCCGAGGCCGAAUCUAGAUACGCCCGCUAUCUAGCGGGAGAGGGGAGGG